RNAcentral lists this ribosomal RNA (506 nucleotides) under uncultured bacterium. RNAcentral's name for it is "partial 16S ribosomal RNA". It matches the Rfam family "Bacterial small subunit ribosomal RNA", at positions 30 to 523 of the family's 1533-position model. The record is from RNAcentral.
AUUGAACGCUGGCGGCAGGCUUAACACAUGCAAGUCGAGCGGUAACAGAGAGAAGCUUGCUUCUCUGCUGACGAGCGGCGGACGGGUGAGUAAUGCCUAGGAAUCUGCCUAGUAGUGGGGGAUAACUUGCCGAAAGGUAAGCUAAUACCGCAUACGUCCUACGGGAGAAAGGAGGGGACCUUCGGGCCUUUCGCUAUUAGAUGAGCCUAGGUCGGAUUAGUUAGUUGGUGAGGUAAUGGCUCACCAAGACCGCGAUCCGUAACUGGUCUGAGAGGAUGAUCAGUCACACUGGAACUGAGACACGGUCCAGACUCCUAAGGGAGGCAGCAGUGGGGAAUAUUGGACAAUGGGGGGAACCCUGAUCCAGCCGUGCCGCGUGUGUGAAGAAGGUCUUAGGAUUGUAAAGCACUUUAAGUUGGGAGGAAGAGCAGUUAACUAAUAUUUGACUGUUUUGACGUUACCGACAGAAUAGGCACCGGCUAACUUCGUGCCAGCAGCCGCGGUAA